RNAcentral lists this ribosomal RNA (335 nucleotides) under uncultured Rhodocyclaceae bacterium. Its description in RNAcentral is "bacterial SSU rRNA". It matches the Rfam family "Bacterial small subunit ribosomal RNA", at positions 1046 to 1382 of the family's 1533-position model. The record is from RNAcentral. Lineage: Bacteria; Pseudomonadati; Pseudomonadota; Betaproteobacteria; Rhodocyclales; Rhodocyclaceae.
UGGCUGUCGUCAGCUCGUGUCGUGAGAUGUUGGGUUAAGUCCCGCAACGAGCGCAACCCUUGUCAUUAGUUGCCAUCAUUUAGUUGGGCACUCUAAUGAGACUGCCGGUGACAAACCGGAGGAAGGUGGGGAUGACGUCAAGUCCUCAUGGCCCUUAUGGGUAGGGCUUCACACGUCAUACAAUGGUCGGUACAGAGGGUUGCCAAGCCGCGAGGUGGAGCCAAUCCCAUAAAGCCAUUCGUAGUCCGGAUCGCAGUCUGCAACUCGACUGCGUGAAGUCGGAAUCGCUAGUAAUCGUGGAUCAGAAUGUCACGGUGAAUACGUUCCCGGGUCUU